AUGUUUUGGUAAUUUCCAAUAUAUUUUGAAGCUCAAAAAGUGUAACACUCAAUUGACAGCUCACGUUUUGGUUAAUGUAAUGCUUUUAAUAUAAUUAUUAAGAUUUUCAAUUAAGAUUUUCAAGGUAAAAAAAGUGUAAGAGUCAACAUUCACAGCUCACAUGUUCCUAUUUUCCAAUAUUAUAUUCUAUUUAAUUCUUUCUCCUAAUAUUUUGAAGGUGAAUAUAUUAAUUCUCUCUUGAUAUUUCUGGAAGUUUCCUUUCAAAUAGUUAUCUCUUCCUCUUCUUCUCUCUCUCAGUUUCUCUGUAAUUACUGUGUAUAGUUGGGAAAUGAUCAAGACAACAAAUAAGAACACCCAUUAGAUCAAUGACAAGAGAAGGCUUGCGACGGCGGCAACCACCACCAGCACCACUGAAUUCAUAACGAAGCUCAAUAUUGUCGACAUGCAGACCUCCACCAGGCAUGUUCUAAUUCUGUUUUGGUGGAUUUGUAUUACAAAAUUCUCUCAUACCUUUAAGGUUAAUUCUUUGAAUUGUAAAAUAUAUUUAGAGUAACUGAUGCUCUUAUUUUAUUUCAAUUAUUGGUAAAGAUUUCGAAUUUUGGCUUUAAAGGGUUCAUUUAUUUGUUUUGUUAGUUUGCUCUGCUAUCAUCCAACUAACUUUGUAAUUAAUUGGGUUGUUUAAUUGGGUUCUAAUUUUUUAUUAUAUACAUAUUCAUGGAUGUCCUGUAA
Molecule: long non-coding RNA, 729 nt
Organism: Cannabis sativa
Lineage: Eukaryota; Viridiplantae; Streptophyta; Magnoliopsida; Rosales; Cannabaceae
Exons: 2
Source: RefSeq, a predicted model, not a curated record